UUGAUUUCGACCAGGGAGAGGGGGAGGGAAAAUGGAUCAAGAGGAGUCAAGGCUGUCGCAGUUGCUGAAGUGACGUUGCACGCCUUUCUCUUUCCAUGGACUUUCCUCUCUUUCUAGUUUCCUUAUUCACCUGUGCAUUCUUUGUAGGCCCUCGAAAGAGGAUCUAUGUUUCUAUAUCUACGCUUUUUGCAAUGCAUGUCUAGAAUGUAUACAAACAAACUUUA
RNAcentral lists this unclassified non-coding RNA (224 nucleotides) under uncultured Boletus. RNAcentral describes it as "sequence contains ITS1". The record is from RNAcentral. Lineage: Eukaryota; Fungi; Basidiomycota; Agaricomycetes; Boletales; Boletaceae.